UGAGGAAUAUUGAGCAAUGGGCGCAAGCCUGACUCAGCAACGCCGCGUGGAUGAUGAAGGCCUUCGGGUUGUAAAAUCCUUUUCUGGGGGACGAUAAUGACGGUACCUCAGGAAUAAGUUCCGGCUAACUACGUGCCAGCAGCCGCGGUAAAACGUAGGGAACAAGCGUUAUCCGGAUUUACUGGGCGUAAAGCGCGCGCAGGCGGCAUGGAAAGUUGGACGUGAAAACUCCUGGCUUAACUGGGAGAGG
RNAcentral lists this ribosomal RNA (250 nucleotides) under uncultured bacterium. RNAcentral's name for it is "partial 16S ribosomal RNA". It matches the Rfam family "Bacterial small subunit ribosomal RNA", at positions 355 to 622 of the family's 1533-position model. The record is from RNAcentral.